RNAcentral lists this transfer RNA (74 nucleotides) under bacterium. Its description in RNAcentral is "tRNA-Gln". It matches the Rfam family "tRNA". Rfam says of the family: Transfer RNA (tRNA) molecules are approximately 80 nucleotides in length. Their secondary structure includes four short double-helical elements and three loops (D, anti-codon, and T loops). The record is from RNAcentral.
UGCGGGAUCGUCUAAUGGUAGGACACGGGACUUUGGAUCCCGGUAUCUAGGUUCGAAUCCUAGUCCCGCAGCCA